CCGUUCCACCGGAGAGAGACUGAGGAUUUCUGCUUCUGGUCUGAAGGACAAAAUUUUAGGGAAAAACUUUGAUUGGUCCAACAUAGAUGGAGAAAUGACAACUGGAGAGGGGAGUUCUACUGGAGAGGGGAGUUCACACAUAUACACUGAAAGCUGCCCAUCAAAAGAGUUGCAGAACCAGGACUACAGCCCUUGCAUCUUGACUGCCAGUACGAUGCAGGUUAAACUCUGUGUUUGAUGCUUGUUGAUGUGGACGUCUGGAACUUGAAUAGAAGACAUUUCUUAUUUCAGAUGCAUCCAUUAGCAGGUCUUAGCCAGGAGCCAGGCCCUUGCAAGUAUAUAUUGCAAGUAAUUGAUGACAUUGGAGCCAGAAAUCGAAUGAACCGGGCCCAGUUCAAUCCACUUACUGGACAAGCUCCUCAAGCACUCUAAGCCCCAAUUUCCUCCUCUGUAAAGUGGGCAUAAAUUACAUUUACCUUGAGGGUUGCUGUGAAGGCU
RNAcentral lists this long non-coding RNA (498 nucleotides) under Homo sapiens (human). Its description in RNAcentral is "non-protein coding RALY-AS1:9". Lineage: Eukaryota; Metazoa; Chordata; Mammalia; Primates; Hominidae. The record is from RNAcentral.